GUGAGUAACACGUGGAUAACCUACCUAUAAGACUGGGAUAACUUCGGGAAACCGGAGCUAAUACCGGAUAAUAUUUUGAACCGCAUGGUUCAAAAGUGAAAGACGGUCUUGCUGUCACUUAUAGAUGGAUCCGCGCUGCAUUAGCUAGUUGGUAAGGUAACGGCUUACCAAGGCAACGAUGCAUAGCCGACCUGAGAGGGUGAUCGGCCACACUGGAACUGAGACACGGUCCAGACUCCUACGGGAGGCAGCAGUAGGGAAUCUUCCGCAAUGGGCGAAAGCCUGACGGAGCAACGCCGCGUGAGUGAUGAAGGUCUUCGGAUCGUAAAACUCUGUUAUUAGGGAAGAACAUAUGUGUAAGUAACUGUGCACAUCUUGACGGUACCUAAUCAGAAAGCCACGGCUAACUACGUGCCAGCAGCCGCGGUAAUACGUAGGUGGCAAGCGUUAUCCGGAAUUAUUGGGCGUAAAGCGCGCGUAGGCGGUUUUUUAAGUCUGAUGUGAAAGCCCACGGCUCAACCGUGGAGGGUCAUUGGAAACUGGAAAACUUGAGUGCAGAAGAGGAAAGUGGAAUUCCAUGUGUAGCGGUGAAAUGCGCAGAGAUAUGGAGGAACACCAGUGGCGAAGGCGACUUUCUGGUCUGUAACUGACGCUGAUGUGCGAAAGCGUGGGGAUCAAACAGGAUUAGAUACCCUGGUAGUCCACGCCGUAAACGAUGAGUGCUAAGUGUUAGGGGGUUUCCGCCCCUUAGUGCUGCAGCUAACGCAUUAAGCACUCCGCCUGGGGAGUACGACCGCAAGGUUGAAACUCAAAGGAAUUGACGGGGACCCGCACAAGCGGUGGAGCAUGUGGUUUAAUUCGAAGCAACGCGAAGAACCUUACCAAAUCUUGAC
RNAcentral lists this ribosomal RNA (893 nucleotides) under Staphylococcus aureus. RNAcentral's name for it is "bacterial SSU rRNA". It matches the Rfam family "Bacterial small subunit ribosomal RNA", at positions 106 to 985 of the family's 1533-position model. Lineage: Bacteria; Bacillati; Bacillota; Bacilli; Caryophanales; Staphylococcaceae. The record is from RNAcentral.